GGGUGAGUAACACGUAACUGAUCUGCCCCAUAUUUGAGGGAUAACCAUUGGAAACAGUGGCUAAUACCGGAUAGCAGCGCGCUAGUUAGAGAGUCGCGCUUAAAGCGAUAGAGCGAUAUGGGACGAGGUUGCGUUCCAUCAGCUAGUUGGUGAGGUAAGGGCUCACCGAGGCGAUGACGGAUAGGGGAUCUGAGAGGGUGGCCCCCCACACUGGGACUGAGACACGGCCCAGACUCCUACGGGAGGCAGCAGUAAGGGAUAUUGCACAAUGGACGGAAGUCUGAUGCAGCGACGUCGCGUGGGCGAAGAAGGUUUUCGGAUCGUAAAGUCCUUUUCUAUGUGACGAGGAAGGACGGUAGCAUAGGAAUAAGUGUCGGCUAACUACGUGCCAGCAGCCGCGGUAAAACGUAGGACGCGAGCGUUAUCCGGAGUUACUGGGCGUAAAGGGCGCGCGGGCGGUUUGUUAAGUUGCCUAUGAAAGGUACUGGCUAAACUGGUAUAAGUUAGGUGAAACUGGCAAGCUAGAGUGAAAUAGAGGGAAGUGGAAUUCCGGGUGUAGUGGUGAAAUGCGUAGAUAUCCGGAGGAAUACCGGUGGCGAAGGCGGCUUCCUGGAUUUCGACUGACGCUGAGGCGCGAAAGCGUGGGUAGCGAACGGGAUUAGAAACCCCGGUAGUCCACGCUGUAAACGAUGUACAUUAAGCGUUCGGUUACGUGAGUAAUUGAGUGUUGCAGCAAACGCGAUAAAUGUACCGCCUGGGGAGUACGGUCGCAAGGCUAAANCUCAAAGGAAUUGACGGGGGCCCGCACAAGCAGCGGAGCGUGUGGUUUAAUUCGAGGCUACGCGAAGAACCUUACCUGGGUUUGACAUGUCGGUAGUACGGAAGCGAAAGCGGAAGGACCUUUCGGGGAGCCGUCACAGGUGCUGCAUGGUUGUCGUCAGCUCGUGCCGUGAGGUGUUCGGUUAAGUCCGCAAACGAGCGCAACCCUCGGUGCUAGUUAUAAGUGUCUAGCAUGACUGCCCGUGGCAAACGGGAGGAAGGUGGGGAUGACGUCAAAUCAGCAUGGCCUUAAUAUCCGGGGCGACACACACGCUACAAUGGUCGGUACAAUGGGUGGCGAAGGGGCGACUUGGAGCGAAUCC
RNAcentral lists this ribosomal RNA (1142 nucleotides) under uncultured bacterium. Its description in RNAcentral is "bacterial SSU rRNA". It matches the Rfam family "Bacterial small subunit ribosomal RNA", at positions 104 to 1274 of the family's 1533-position model. The record is from RNAcentral.